RNAcentral lists this ribosomal RNA (387 nucleotides) under uncultured bacterium. RNAcentral's name for it is "bacterial SSU rRNA". It matches the Rfam family "Bacterial small subunit ribosomal RNA", at positions 28 to 416 of the family's 1533-position model. The record is from RNAcentral.
GAUGAACGCUAGCGGCAGGCCUAACACAUGCAAGUCGAGGGGUAGAGUUCUUCGGGACUUGAGACCGGCGCACGGGUGCGUAACGCGUAUGCAAUCUACCUUAUACAGGGGAAUAGCCCAGAGAAAUUUGGAUUAAUGCCCCAUAGUGUUAUCGAAUCGCAUGGUUUGAUAACUAAAGUUCCAACGGUAUAAGAUGAGCAUGCGUCCCAUUAGUUAGUUGGUAAGGUAACGGCUUACCAAGACAAUGAUGGGUAGGGGUCCGUGAGAGGGAGAUCCCCACACUGGUACUGAGACACGGACCAGACUCCUACGGGAGGCAGCAGUGGGGAAUUUGGUACAAUGGGCGGCAAGCCUGAUCCAGCAAUAGCCGCGUGCAGGAUGAAGGCC